RNAcentral lists this ribosomal RNA (203 nucleotides) under uncultured bacterium. RNAcentral describes it as "partial 16S ribosomal RNA". It matches the Rfam family "Bacterial small subunit ribosomal RNA", at positions 328 to 544 of the family's 1533-position model. The record is from RNAcentral.
ACGCUCGACACCUACGGAGGCAGCAGUGGGGAAUAUUGCACAAUGGGGGAAACCCUGAUGCAGCGACGCCGCGUGGAGGAAGAAGGUCUUCGGAUUGUAAACUCCUGUUGUUGGGGAAAAAGAGGAUGGUACCCAACAAGGAAGUGACGGCUAACUACGUGCCAGUAGCCGCCGGUAAGUACUGAGCGGGCGUGGCGAAGGCG